This 467-nucleotide ribosomal RNA is filed under the name uncultured bacterium. RNAcentral describes it as "partial 16S ribosomal RNA". It matches the Rfam family "Bacterial small subunit ribosomal RNA", at positions 29 to 507 of the family's 1533-position model. The record is from RNAcentral.
ACGCACGCUGGCGGCGUGCUUCACACAUGCAAGUCGAACGGAAAGGCCCUGCUUUUGUGGGGUGCUCGAGUGGCGAACGGGUGAGUAACACGUGAGUAACCUGCCCUUGACUUUGGGAUAACUUCAGGAAACUGGGGCUAAUACCGGAUAGGAGCUCCUGCUGCAUGGUGGGGGUUGGAAAGUUUCGGCGGUUGGGGAUGGACUCGCGGCUUAUCAGCUUGUUGGUGGGGUAGUGGCUUACCAAGGCUUUGACGGGUAGCCGGCCUGAGAGGGUGACCGGCCACAUUGGGACUGAGAUACGGCCCAGUCUCCUACGGGAGGCAGCAGUGGGGAAUAUUGCACAAUGGGCGGAAGCCUGAUGCAGCAACGCCGCGUGCGGGAUGACGGCCUUCGGGUUGUAAACCGCUUUCGCCUGUGACGAAGCGUGAGUGACGGUAAUGGGUAAAGAAGCACCGGCUAACUACGUG